This 498-nucleotide ribosomal RNA is filed under the name uncultured bacterium. RNAcentral's name for it is "bacterial SSU rRNA". It matches the Rfam family "Bacterial small subunit ribosomal RNA", at positions 30 to 518 of the family's 1533-position model. The record is from RNAcentral.
UGAACGCUAGCUACAGGCUAACACAUGCAAGUCGAGGGGCAGCGGGAAGAAAGCUUGCUUCUUGCCGGCGACCGGCGGCACGGGUGAGUAACGCGUAUCCAAUCUUCCCCUUAGUAGGGCAUAGCCCGUAGAAAUGCGGAUUAAUACCCUAUGUUAUUCGUCGAGGACAUCUGAAGUGAAUCAAAGGUUUACCGCUAAGGGAUGGGGAUGCGUCCGAUUAGGCAGCAGGCGGGGUAACGGCCCACCUGGCCAACGAUCGGUAGGGGUUCUGAGAGGAAGGUCCCCCACAUUGGAACUGGGACACGGUCCAAACUCCUACGGGAGGCAGCAGUGAGGAAUAUUGGUCAAUGGGCGCGAGCCUGAACCAGCCCAAGUAGCGUGCAGGACGACGGCCCUAUGGGUUGUAAACUGCUUUUAUACGGGGAUAAAGUGAGGGACGUGUCCCUUUUUGUAGGUACCGUAUGAAUAAGGACCGGCUAAUUCCGUGCCAGCCGCGGC